This is a long non-coding RNA of Hypanus sabinus (Atlantic stingray), 4016 nucleotides long. RefSeq lists it as uncharacterized. The record is from RefSeq and is a predicted model, not a curated record. The transcript has 3 exons. NCBI's taxonomy places the organism in Eukaryota, Metazoa, Chordata, Chondrichthyes, Myliobatiformes, Dasyatidae.
UGACCGGGGGAAGAGAGAGGGCGUGACACACGCCGGAACAGCUGCCCCGUGGCGCUGACAAGUGCCUUGAUAUUUAUUACAGCAGUAAUACUAAUUGCUUGCUUUUUGAGAUACUAGCGGUGACAACGCAACAAGGGAACAUAAAUAGCGGUGAAAACAUUGUUAAACAGCAAGACUUGCAUUCAAACUGAGGUCAAAGGAGCAGUGGAAUCUAGCCUGAUAACUGAGGGGGAGUAACUGUUCUUGAACCUGGUGAUGCAACUCUACAGAGAGAAAGGAGCAUGGCCUGAGUGACAGUCAUCCAGCUACUCGCCUCCUACAACUUUGGUGUGACACUUCUCUGUAACUUUGAUCACUUAUACCCUCGCUUUUCUGUACAAGCUGAAGGUCAUCCAUUUGCUACUCCAGAUCCCUAAGACGGUCUUCAAGGAACUGCAGCCAGAUGCACUUCAUGCAGAUGUAGUUUCCAGGGGGACUCCAGGUCUCCCAAGACUCCAACAUCUGGGAUGAAGAACACACCACAGUUGUACAGUAAGGGGAAAAAGAUGAAGAGGAAACAGAACUUUACACAGAGCUGAUGCCUCUUCCAAUUCGAAGCCUCUAUUGAACCAAAGCCUGUUGCUUCUACUCUUGCCACUGGGCUACUCCCAAUAGUAUUCUAGAGCUCUUGAAAUGAAUGCCAACAUGGCAUUUACGUUCCUCAUCACCAACUCAACCUUCAAGUUAAUCUUCAGAGUGUUCUGCAUAAGGAUUCCCAAGUCCCUCUGUAUCUCAGAUUCCUGGAUUUUCUCCCUAUUUAGAAAAUAGUCCAUGCAUUUAUUUCUACUACCAAAGUGUAUGACCAUGCAUUUUCCAACAUUGUAUUUCAUUUGCCAGUUUCUUGUCCAUUCUCCUAAUCUGUCCAAGGCCUUCUGCAGCUUUCCCAUUUCCUCUACCUGCCCCUCCACCAAUCUUUAUAUCAUCUGCAAAUUAGGAAACAAAUAUUCCGUUAUCUAAAUCAUUGAUAGACAGCAUAAAAAGAAGUGGUCCCAACACCAUCCUCAGUGGAACACCACUAGUUACUGUCAUCCAACCAGAAAAGGAUCCUUUUAUUCCCAUUCACUGCCUCCUACCAAUCAACCAAUGCUCUAACCAUGGCAGUAACUUUCCUGUAAUACCACAGGCUCUUAACUUGGUAAGCAACCUCAUUUUAAAAAAAAUAUCUGAGUACACUUGCUGCAGGCUAGACUACAUCCAGCAGGAUUAACUGUACUUCUAGCCAGUCCAGUGGCUGCAUUGAUGUCUACCUGACAAUUGCGUAGGUAUAUCCUAUAAUCCUGUCUGCCUAAUUACUGCCCAGUCAAGCAACUCCAAAUUAACAACAUGGUGAUGCCAAUUGUCCAGGUACUCUCUAGAGUCACUGCAAUAAACUGCUCACCAAUGCCCUGGGAGGGUAGCACCUCCGAUGAAAGGGCUUGUUGUGUCCACUCUAGGGCAGCUCACCACCAGACACUCAGCUCUCACAUGUGGCUCCAAGUAGCUGUUGCAGUCACAUUCAAACAACACCCACUACACCUCUUCAACAGAUAGGCUAAACCAGAUGAGGGUAUCUGAGGUAAGGAUAUGCCAGUCUAGCAUGCAGUCAGAUCCAGCAGACUGGGCAGAUUAGAUCUACAGUGAGAUCCAAUGGCCAGGAAUAUGGUUCUGCAAUGUUCUGUGGAGAGCAAAGGGUAUGACAUGGCACAGAGGAUCACGGCCAUCCACUGCAAUCAAGGAAGGCCCCAGUUGUGAUGACGACUCGAAUCACUGGACUCGGACAUCCGAGGUCAAGAGUAUGGAACUGCCCCAAUGCAAUGGCUUUUCCACUUUAAAAACUCUCCUGCACAGGUUUCCUGUCAUUGGCAGGCAUAACAGACAACCACCAGCAAUGCUCUGUUUGGCAUUAGCCUCAACCGCUCCAGGUCUCACCAAUCUUGGACUAACAGCGAGGUCUUGACCUGAAGGAAGCAUUUGACUGAAUGUAACAUCAAGAAAGUAUGGAAUUUUUUUUUUGGAGUCUCUUGCUCCGUGCAAUUAUCCCUCACCUGUUAUGAAUAGAAGUGGCAAAACUGCAGAGCUGCACCCACUGAACUCAGAAGGUACUUAGCAGGUCAGGCAGCAUCUAUGUAGAUGAAUAAAGAGCCAAUAUUUCUUCUUAUUCUAGUUUAAGCCAUUCCAGUCUUGAUGAAAGGACCAGUCUGAAACAUCAGCUCCAUGUUCCUCUCCAUAGCUGCUGCAUGAUCUGCUGAAUUCCACUAGCAUUUUGUGUUUGUUGCUCUAGAUUUCCAGCAUUUCUAGAAUCUCGUAUUUAGGAAUGCAGACUAUUGUCUGAUCUGCUGGUUGUGAAAUUACUUAGCUCAUCUAUUGCACGCCUGUUUAGCAUGCAUAUAGUUGUAGUAAAGGCUCCAAGAACAGUUACGUCCUCAGUAAUGCUUUGGCCCAAUAUGUGAAUGCUAAUGGCUACGGUAUUUGCAACUUGACAAUCCUCUGAAACUCAUGACCUUUACCACCAAAGAGACUAAGUGCAGUAGGUUCAUGGGAACACAACUAUUUGUAUUUUCAUUCAAGUCACAUCAACACGGCACUGUGUGCUUCAUUAGUUUUAGAUGCUGCUCCUGAUGGCAACUUCUGCAUUCUACUUCAACCAAUGUUAAUUAUCUUGCCAAAUAGUCAUAGUAGAAUGAGGCCAAAAUUUAAAACUGAUGUUUGUACUGUUCUACAUUCCAGAGUCUUCACCCUCUACAAGAAUAAAUUUCUGACACUUUGGCCUACAAUAAUAUGUCAACAUUUUAAUCUACUCCUACAGUGAAUUAGGGGAUUUGGUUAUUUGACUUAAAAUCCAAUAAUUCACAGGAGAUUCAAACAAAAUCUAUUGAGAACUUCAGCUUGAAAUACAUUAGGCCCAAGCUUGAAUAAUCUUUCUGAAUCCAAGAUUGCUUGUGGAAUUUUCAGGUGGUAUUUUUGUGGCAUUUAAUAGUCACAUGUGUUUUUAGAUUUAAUUAACUCUGCAGGUCAUCUCUCAUCUAAAUAUUAUACAUUUUCAUAUUCAGCUUUUUAAUUCUUUCUCCUCCUUUAAACCACCAUAAUUACAUUUUCCUUAGGAGUUAGUACAUGUUACGACAUGUCCUCCAAUAUGCAGACACAGUAGAAACAAGACAGCGGUUGGAUAUUUUUCCGCUUUAAGGUGAUUAUUUAAAUGUACAUCUCAAAAACUAAAUUAUCAAAAUAAAAAAGUAAUUCAAUAGUUGAACACUUUGAAUUCUCGUUUUGGAUGAUUAUUUACAUCUAUGCUUUAUUUAAUCGUACCAACAGAGCACUAGUCACUAUCACUAUCUCACCUAGUCCCUCAACAUCAAGAAAGCACAGCAGCGUCUCCACUUCCCAAGAAUGAGACAAGCAAGGCUUCAAGCCUUCUCUGCCCCUCAUUUUCCUGACCAGCUGCAUCAUUGUCUGGUAUGGGAAUUGCAAGGUAUCAGAUUGCAAGACCCUACUAAGGAUUGGGAGGAUCACUGGGGGGUCUCUCCUCCACCCAGAUAUAUUUAUUAGGACCAUUGCAUACACAGGGCCCUUAGCAUUGUCAAGGAUCCCUCCCACAAUCUCUUUGACCCCCUAUCCUCAAAAGCAGGAGGCACCGUAGGAUUAGGCCAAAGACUAUUAGGAUGGGAAUUAGCCCCUUCCCCCAGGCCAUGAGACUACUGAACUCCCUUGCCACCACCUAGAUCUCAUCACAUAUGAAGCACCAGUAGUGUUAUACUGCUUACUUUUUAAACUUGUAUCAUAUAUGCAUGUUAUGACCAUUGUCAAUCUUCUGGAAUGUUUUACUUGUUAAUUUAUUUGUGGUAAUAUUACUUUUGUGUGAGAGUUAUAUGUACUGUGUUGUGCAACUUGGUCCAGAAGAAAUUGGUUUCAUUUGGUGGUACCCAGAAAUACAGUUGAAUGACAAUAUAAGAAAAAAAACAAUUUGUUAACUGGUAAUCAAGUGCAUGGAACAAAAAAAA